RNAcentral lists this non-coding RNA (27 nucleotides) under Rattus norvegicus (Norway rat). The record is from RNAcentral. Lineage: Eukaryota; Metazoa; Chordata; Mammalia; Rodentia; Muridae.
UGAACCGCUGAGUACUGAUGAUGUAUC